AUGUUUCCUUUCCCCACCCAUCUGCCUGCUUUCCCCAUCCGUCUGUCUGUCUGUCUUUCCCAUCCACCCACCUUCCCCACCCCUUUGCUUUUCUCAUCCAUCUGCCUCCCCCACCCAUCUGCCUUCCCCAUCCGUCUUUCCCACCCGCCUGCCUUUUCUGUCUGUCCAUCUGUCUCUUACCCACCUGCCCUCCCCAUCCGUCCAUCUUUCCCAUCCAUCUUUAUUCCCCAACCAUCUUUUCCAUCUGCCUCCCCCCAUCUGUUUGUCUGUCUUCCCUAUCUGUCCAUCUUUCUCAUCUUCCUAUUUUCCCCAUUUCUCUGUCUUUCCCAUUCUCUCUGUCUUUGUCCAUCUGUCUAUCUGUCUUUCCCAUCCAUCUGCCUUUGCCGUCUGUCUGCUUUCUCCACCCAUCCGUCUGUCUUUCCCAUCCACCUCUUUCCCAUCCACGUUUUCCAUCCCUCUGCCUUCUGCAUCCAUCCAUCCAUCUGUCCAUCUUCCCCAUGUCUGCCCUUCCCAUCAAAUUUCCCAUCCCUCUGCCUUCCCAUCCACCCUCUGCCUUUCCCCAUCUGUCCAUCUGUCUUUCCCAUCCAUCUUCCCAUCCAUCCGUCCAUCUUCCCCAUCCGUCUGUCUCCCUUUCCCAUCCAUUUUCCCCAUCCAACUGCUUUCCCCAUCUGUCCGUCUGUCUUUCCCAUCCAUCUCUUUCCCAUCCAUCUUUCCCAUCCCUCUGCCUCCCCCAUCCAUCCAUCCAUCCAUCCAUCCAUCCAUCCAUCCAUCCAUCCAUCCACCUGUGUUCUCCAUCCAUCCAUCUGUCCAUCUUCCAUCCAUCCAUCCAUCCAUCCGUGUUCUCCACCCAUUUGUCUAUUUUCCCCAUCCAUCCCCCUGUCCACCUUCCCCAUCUGUCUGUCUGCGUUUCCCAUCAUAUUUCCCAUCCGUCUGCUUUCCCAUCCAUCCUUCUGUCUUUCCCUACCCACCUGCCUCCCCCAUCCGUCUUUCCCAUCCGUCUGCCUUUUCUGUCUGUCCAUCUGUCUUUCUUACCCACCUGCCCUCCCCAUCCGUCCACCAUCCACCUGUGUUCUCCAUCCAUCCAUCUGUCCAUCUUCCAUCCAUCCAUCCAUCCAUCCGUGUUCUCCACCCAUUUGUCUAUUUUCCCCAUCCAUCCCCCUGUCCACCUUCCCCAUCUGUCUGUCUGCGUUUCCCAUCAUAUUUCCCAUCCGUCUUCUUUCCCAUCCAUCCUUCUGUCUUUCCCUCCCUAGCUGUCCAUCUGUCUUUCCCAUCCAUCUCUUUGCCAUCCAUCCAUUCAUCCAUUCAUCCAUGUUCCCCAUCCAUCCAUCUGUCCAUCUUCCCUAUCCAUCUGUCUGCCUUCCCAUCCAUCCUCUGCCUUUCUCCAUCUGUCCGUCUUUCCCAUCCAUGUUCCCCAUCCAUCCAUCCAUCCGUCCAUCCAUCCAUCCAUCCAUCCGUCCAUCUUCCAUCCAUCUGUCCAUCUUCCCUAUCCAUCUGUCUGCCUUCCCAUCCAUCCUCUGCCUUUCCCUAGCAGUCCAUCUGUCUUUCCCAUCCAUGUUCCCCAUCCAUCCAUCCGUCCGUCCGUCCGUCCGUCCAUCUUCCCCCUCCGUUUGUCUGCCUUUCCCAUCCAUUUUCCCCAUCCAACUACUUUCCCCAUCUGUCCAUCUGUCUUUCCCAUCCUCCCCUUUCCCAUCCAUCUUUCCCAUUCUUCCGCCUUCCCCAUCCAUCCAUCCAUCCAUCCGUCUGCCUUCCCAUCCAUCCUCUGCCUUUCCCCAUCUGUCCAUCUGUCUUUCCCAUCCUCCCCUUUCCCAUCCAUCUUUCCCAUUCUUCCGCCUUCCCCAUCCAUCCAUCCCUCCAUCCAUCCAUCCGUCUGCCUUCCCAUCCAUCCUCUGCCUUUCCCCAUCUGUCCAUCUGUCUUUCCCAUCCUCCCCUUUCCCAUCCAUCUUUCCCAUUCUUCCGCCUUCCCCAUCCAUCCAUCCCUCCAUCCAUCCAUCCGUCUGCCUUCCCAUCCAUCCUCUGCCUUUCCCCAUCUGUCCAUCUGUCUUUCCCACCCAUGUUCUCCAUCCGUCCAUCCGUCCAUCCAUCCGUCCAUCUUCCCCAUCCAUCCGUCUCCCUUUCCCAUCCAUUUUCCCCAUCCAACUGCUUUCCCCAUCUGUCCGUCUGUCUUUCCCAUCCUUCCCUUUCCCAUCCACCUUUCCCAUCCCUCUGCCUUCCCCAUCCAUCCUUCUGUCU
This 2229-nucleotide long non-coding RNA is filed under the name Chrysolophus pictus (golden pheasant). Its description in RNAcentral is "lncRNA (ENSCPIG00010000006.1)". Lineage: Eukaryota; Metazoa; Chordata; Aves; Galliformes; Phasianidae. The record is from RNAcentral.